GGGCCCGUGGGGUAGCCAGGAUAUCCUCUCAGCUUGGGGUGCUGGUGACCCGAGUUCAAAUCUCGGCGGGCCCA
This 74-nucleotide transfer RNA is filed under the name Candidatus Altarchaeota archaeon. RNAcentral's name for it is "tRNA-Pro". It matches the Rfam family "tRNA". From Rfam's summary of the family: Transfer RNA (tRNA) molecules are approximately 80 nucleotides in length. The record is from RNAcentral. Lineage: Archaea; Nanobdellati; Candidatus Altarchaeota.